GCCCUGUCCUCCCUUGCUGCAGUUGGUUAGAGCUUGGUGCUGAUGAUGCCAAGGUUGCAAGUUAGAUCCCCAUAUGGGGCA
This is a non-coding RNA of Podarcis lilfordi (Lilford's wall lizard), 81 nucleotides long. The record is from the annotation of a GenBank genome assembly. Lineage: Eukaryota; Metazoa; Chordata; Lepidosauria; Squamata; Lacertidae.